CAAAGAAUAGUUUAAUGCAAGAAUCUUAGCUUUGGGAGCUAAGGGUAGGAG
RNAcentral lists this transfer RNA (51 nucleotides) under Atypichthys strigatus (Australian mado). Its description in RNAcentral is "partial tRNA-Pro". Lineage: Eukaryota; Metazoa; Chordata; Actinopteri; Centrarchiformes; Kyphosidae. The record is from RNAcentral.